AAAUUGAAGAGUUUGAUCAUGGCUCAGAUUGAACGCUGGCGGCAGGCCUAACACAUGCAAGUCGAACGGUAACAGGAAGCAGCUUGCUGCUUUGCUGACGAGUGGCGGACGGGUGAGUAAUGUCUGGGAAACUGCCUGAUGGAGGGGGAUAACUACUGGAAACGGUGGCUAAUACCGCAUAACGUCGCAAGACCAAAGAGGGGGACCUUAGGGCCUCUUGCCAUCAGAUGUGCCCAGAUGGGAUUAGCUUGUUGGUGAGGUAACGGCUCACCAAGGCGACGAUCCCUAGCUGGUCUGAGAGGAUGACCAGCCACACUGGAACUGAGACACGGUCCAGACUCCUACGGGAGGCAGCAGUGGGGAAUAUUGCACAAUGGGCGCAAGCCUGAUGCAGCCAUGCCGCGUGUAUGAAGAAGGCCUUCGGGUUGUAAAGUACUUUCAGCGGGGAGGAAGGUGUUG
Molecule: ribosomal RNA, 459 nt
Filed under: Salmonella enterica
Lineage: Bacteria; Pseudomonadati; Pseudomonadota; Gammaproteobacteria; Enterobacterales; Enterobacteriaceae
Also listed under: 1 other name
Description: bacterial SSU rRNA
Rfam family: Bacterial small subunit ribosomal RNA
Source: RNAcentral